UGGUCUACCACUACGUGGUCUAGUGGUUAGAACGUCCGCCUCGAAUGCGGGAGGUCGUGGGUUCGAACACAGUCCGAAUCAGACCAA
Molecule: non-coding RNA, 87 nt
Organism: Potamilus streckersoni
Lineage: Eukaryota; Metazoa; Mollusca; Bivalvia; Unionida; Unionidae
Source: the annotation of a GenBank genome assembly